AGUGAGUAGCUUGCUAUGAACUGUUUUAGCGGCGGACGGGUGAGUAACGCGUGAGCAACCUUUCCUUCACAGGGGGAUAAGAUACCGAAAGGUGUUCUAAUACCGCAUGAGACCACAGAGCCACAUGGCUCAGGGGUCAAAGGAGGAAUCCGGUGAAGGGUGGGCUCGCGUCCGAUUAGCUAGUUGGUGAGGUGACGGCCCACCAAGGCGACGAUCGGUAGCCGACCUGAGAGGGUGAUCGGCCACAUUGGAACUGAGAGACGGUCCAAACUCC
Molecule: ribosomal RNA, 274 nt
Filed under: uncultured Clostridia bacterium
Lineage: Bacteria; Bacillati; Bacillota; Clostridia
Description: partial 16S ribosomal RNA
Rfam family: Bacterial small subunit ribosomal RNA
Source: RNAcentral